This 65-nucleotide transfer RNA is filed under the name Ledra auditura. Its description in RNAcentral is "tRNA-Ile". The record is from RNAcentral. RNAcentral also lists the same sequence under 1 other name. Lineage: Eukaryota; Metazoa; Arthropoda; Insecta; Hemiptera; Cicadellidae.
AAUAAGGUGCCUGAUUAAAGGGUCAUUUUGAUGUAAUGAAUAAAAUAUAUAUUGUAUUCUUAUUG